Molecule: non-coding RNA, 1537 nt
Organism: Sus scrofa (pig)
Lineage: Eukaryota; Metazoa; Chordata; Mammalia; Artiodactyla; Suidae
Source: RefSeq, a predicted model, not a curated record
UGACAAGAAACAAGACACACUAUGGUCACACCCUUCAGGAUGGAAGCCUGGCCCAAGGGGACAGAUAUGCAAAGAGCAGAGAGCACGUCACAAAGGAACUGCAGAGCCCACACUCAUCUCUCUUCUUUCCACAUUUGCUGUGUAGCGCCUGCAGCCUCUGUUUCCCACGGACACACUGCACAUUGCGCUGGCAACCCAUUUCAUCAGGCACCCGCUGCGCACUCCAGAGGAAGGCUAGUAACCUUAAGAGGGACCUGGUUCCUUGCUCCAGCUCUGCCUCCAACAUGAGGUGAACCCUUUCGAGGUCUGUUUUUAAAUUUUAAAAAUGAAGGACUGGGGAGUUCCUGUCGUGGCUCAGUGGUUAACGAACCCAGCUAGCGUCCAUGAGGAUGUGGGUUCAAUCCCUGGCCUCGCUCAGUGGGUUAAGGAUCCGGCAUGACCACAAGCUGCCGUAUAGGUUGCAGACGAGGCUCGGAUCCCACGUUGCCAUGGCUAUGGUGUUGCUAGCCGGGCAGUGAGGUGGGUGGAUUUUGAUGAAUGGAUGCAGCAAGGAGGCUAGAGUGGAGCAUGCUGGGAAAUACUGGCGUAGAGGGGCCCUGGGCAAGAGUGAGUCCCAAAGAGCAGGCAGCAUCUGAGUCCAGGGCUCUGGGCCCUCUGUGAGCACAUGGCACCCCGCUGCACGUGGGACUCUGGGAAGUCAGAGCAGGAGAAGUCGAGGGGAUAAUCAGGUCUGGGGACCCCAUGGCCGGGCUGUCUGUCUCCCUGAGGGCUGGCUGAGAUGGAGUCCCUGUAUUGAUCUGGUCCUGCCGGGUCUGAGAAGCCUCUCGGAAGAGGAUGAAAGCCCGUGGGGCGCCAGCUGGAAGGCCAAGGCUCCGUUCCUCGUUUGCCAGGAGAGACCCAGGCCAGCAGGCCAAGAGAGCUGUGUCUGCUCCAGGAGCUGGAGGCCUGCCAGUCCUGGCAGCUACCCUGACUCCAUUUCCUCUGCUCUGCAGGCCCCAGACCAAGUCCUUCCCCAUUCACCUCCGCUCCCCUCUUCCCGGGAAGGGAGUGCUCGGCAAGUGGCCGCAGGACCAGCUGCCCACAUGGGACGGGCUGGGCACGGUCAUUGGCGAUCCGGGGGUUUUGAAAUAAAGGCGAACACGUUCACAUCCAAGGCCUGUGCUUAAAUCAGAAGCCAGCUGUCGGCCAAGAACGCUCCCCACUUCUGGCCGGAACGUGAUGGGGACGCUUGGCUGGAGAACUGGAAUUCAUGCCUCAGUCCCUCAACCCCAGCGCAGGGCCUUUCCCAUCACCGUCCAGCUGCCUGCUGGCGCCCCAGAAGGAGGAAGAAUGAAACCUCAUCAGAGGUGAUGGAGCCCGUCACAAGCAAGCCCCGAUUUCUUUCCCCUGUCACCGUCACCCUUGUCUGCUCCUAUUCUGAGCUGCCGGGAACUGCUCCAUCCCUCACGCCUCUGCCCUGCUGAUCUCUCUACCUGGAUGCUGUGCUGCUGUACGGGCUCAUUCUAAAUGACCCCUCCUUGGCGAAGAGACAGCUAAC